UACGGGGGGAGCAAGCGUUGUUCGGAAUUACUGGGCGUAAAGCGCGCGCAGGCGGUUUUUCAAGUCAGUGGUGAAAGCCCGGAGCUCAACUCCGGAACUGCCAUUGAAACUGUGAAACUUGAGGAUGAGAGAGGUGAGUGGAAUUCCCAGUGUAGAGGUGAAAUUCGUAGAUAUUAGGAAGAACACCGGUGGCGAAGGCGGCUCACUGGCUCAUUUCUGACGCUCAGGCGCGACAGCGUGGGGAUCAAACAGG
RNAcentral lists this ribosomal RNA (253 nucleotides) under uncultured bacterium. RNAcentral describes it as "partial 16S ribosomal RNA". It matches the Rfam family "Bacterial small subunit ribosomal RNA", at positions 524 to 776 of the family's 1533-position model. The record is from RNAcentral.